CUACGGGUUGUAGCAGUGGGGAAUAUUGGACAAUGGGGGAAACCCUGAUCCAGCAAUGCCGCGUGUGUGAAGAAGGCCUGCGGGUUGUAAAGCACUUUCGGUUGGGAGGACUGCUUCUAGCACUAAUAUUGUUGGAAGUUGACGUUACCUUCAGAAGAAGCACCGGCUAACUCCGUGCCAGCAGCCGCGGUAAUACGGAGGGUGCAAGCUUUAAUCGGAAUUACUGGGCGUAAAGCGCGCGGAGGCGGCUAGAUCAGUCGGGUGUGAAAGCCCCGGGCUUAACCUGGGAACUGCAUCCGAUACUGUCUAGCUUGAGUACAGGAGAGGAGAGUGGAAUUCCACAUGUAGCGGUGAAAUGCGUAGAUAUGUGGAGGAACACCAAUGGCGAAGGCAGCUCUCUGGCCUGAUACUGACGCUGAGGUGCGAAAGCGUGGGGAGCAAACAGGAUUAGAAACCCUGGUAGUC
RNAcentral lists this ribosomal RNA (465 nucleotides) under uncultured bacterium. Its description in RNAcentral is "partial 16S ribosomal RNA". It matches the Rfam family "Bacterial small subunit ribosomal RNA", at positions 339 to 795 of the family's 1533-position model. The record is from RNAcentral.